UUAGUUUCUUAUACACAGAGAGAUGAUGGGGAAGUGACGGAACCCUUGACAUUGCUCUUUGUCAACCAAAGUGCCAUAUGGUGCUGGCACUGGGAAAGGCCCAGCCUGUGUCGCUUUCUGUGGUCCUGGAAGGGACUGACUCAUUUAAAUAAACCCGAAUUUAUGGCGCCCACAUACGCACGCACGCACUUUGAGUGAUUGGGGCCGCUUAAACUUGGCUCACAUGGAUUCGGGCCGGCUGCUGGAUGCUGGAUGCUGGAUGCUCCUGCUGCUGCCUGGAAAUUGGCUCGGUCGAGGGCUACUUCCGUUACAACAAUGGUGUGAUUUAUACGAUGAGGGCGUAUGGAAAUUUCAUUACAUUCAUGACAGUCUUUUUUUUUUAUGGCAACCGAUGGAGGAGCAACGAACGGAAGUUUAGUUUAAUCGAAGUUGUUGUCACGAUCUGGCGGGACCUCUGAUUGAUUGCCCCUCAUUGAUAAGCUGCCAAAUGACAUUUGGCGUUUUAUUGUUUGUCGCUGCUACUCUGCUGGCUUGCCAGCUUCAAAUUAAGUUUGCCCAGUUUGCUCAGAUUGCUGUUUUUCCAUUCAGAAAAGGCGAAAUUGCACCAAAUUGAAAUUUGUUACAUCAAGCAACAAGCCAGGCAGCUGCUACUCUGCGACCCCUUCUCCUCGGGAUUGCCAUUGUUUGAUUUUGGCAAGGAGGAGCUACCAAAAAAAAAAAUUCUUCCUCCCUGCAGUUUGUCGCGAAAACGAGGGACUUAUAAGGAGACGUUGUUGACUUGGCAAAAAGUGCACUUAUACAAAUGUGUUUCUGACAUACGGUAUUGUUAUUAAGUUCAACGAAGAAGCAAAAAUAAAUUAUAUUUCUGAAUUAGUAAGUUA
Molecule: long non-coding RNA, 881 nt
Organism: Drosophila serrata
Lineage: Eukaryota; Metazoa; Arthropoda; Insecta; Diptera; Drosophilidae
Source: RefSeq, a predicted model, not a curated record